This is a long non-coding RNA of Clupea harengus (Atlantic herring), 1140 nucleotides long. The record is from Ensembl. Lineage: Eukaryota; Metazoa; Chordata; Actinopteri; Clupeiformes; Clupeidae.
GUAAAGACUAUGGAGAUUUGUAUUGCUUUGUUUGGUUUUCAUUCAUUCAUUCAUUUUUUCUUUCUUUUUAGACAUAACAAAUUGACAAAUCAUUUUGAGAGUUCACAGUUUCCUUUAAUACAGUGAAAAGGAUAUCUACAUUCACAUUGUCACUUGAUGCAUGAAAUAGUGCAUUUCAAAGAUAAUACAUUCCACGUAAGCAUGAUGAAGGAAAAAAUGUACAAAUGUACAAAUUUGAUAUUUAGCUCACAUUCAACUACAAACACGGUAUCAUUGUUCGCUAAGUGUCUCACAAUUAGAGCAUACCAGUGCUUUUUUGUUGUAAUUAGUGCAUAAAAUGUAUUGUGAAAACAGAUUAACCUCAAAUAAGUAUUCAUCUUUAGGUAAUUAAACAUUGUUGAACUUUGUUGAAACAAGAAGUAUACAAUAGCCCGCUUCACGAGAAGAGGAUAAUAUUUACAGUUAAUUAAACAUAUACAUUAGAGCUUGAUUUUUUAAAUCAACAAUUUGAAUUGAAACAAAACAGUACCAACUAUCCUGUUGUUUUCCAGAGUAGAUCAGACCAAGAGACAGGACGACAGGCUACUAACCCAAUGCAAACAACCAAGUAUGUUGUAAACAAGUAGACAGACUACAGUAAAGGAGACUUUUUUCUAAAUGGCCUCUGAUACCUUAACCAGUUGCAGAAACUAUUAAAUGGUGCUUGGUUCACGUCCCCAGGUUAUAACAGGACGUUGAGGACGGUCAUGCUUUGUGAGUAAGUUAAUGUUGGAUCAUCAGUCGAAGAAACAUGGGAGCAACCACAGAGAACAUCAGGGCUGUAUCGCCAGGCCACAAGCCGUCAGCUCUAGAAGGCGGAGCUGUAGUGGUUGUAGUGCUUGUAGUGGUUGUAGUGCUUGUAGUGGUUGGAGUGCUUGUAGUGGUUGGAGUGUCUAAGGAUAGAGAGGGUUCCAUUAGCCAAGUACGACAGGUCAUGCUGUAUACGUAUGCUACAUAUGUAAACAUGUAUGCUACAUGGGUAAACAUGUAUGCUACUGGGGAUAGAGAGGGUUGCAUUAGCUAAGUACGGCAGGUCAUGCUGUAUACAUAUGUUAAAUAUGUGAACAUGUAUAACCAUGAUUCUCAACAAUAUCGAUUUGC